Rhinopithecus roxellana (golden snub-nosed monkey) is the source of this 2563-nucleotide long non-coding RNA. RefSeq lists it as uncharacterized. The transcript is spliced from 3 exons. The record is from RefSeq and is a predicted model, not a curated record. Lineage: Eukaryota; Metazoa; Chordata; Mammalia; Primates; Cercopithecidae.
GUAGAGACAGGGUUUCACCAUGUUGGCCAGGCUGGCCUCGAACUCCUGACCUCAGGUGAUCCGUCUGCCUCUGCCUCCCAAAGUGUUGGGAUUACAGGCAUGAGCCACUGCACCAGGGCUACGUAUUUGCUUUUGGAUUGUUCCAGUAAAGCAGCAUGGUGACAAAAAGUCCAUCAAUCCUAUAUGUUACUCACUGCAAUAGAACUUGUUUCUUCAGCUCCCUCCUCUUUACAAUGAGAUGACUACCAAUUCACAAGCUUUCAUUUUUUCAAGUUCUACUUCAAAUGAGAUAACAAGGGUGAAAAUAUCUUGUUUACAACUUAGCAUUUAGGCUGCACUGCCUAUGGAGUAACUGUUCUUUUAUUCCUUUACUUAAUAAACUUGCUUUCACUUUACUCUAUGGACUUGCCUCGAAUUAUUGCUUGUCCAAGAUCUAAAAACCCUCUCUUGGGGUCUGGAUCAGGACCCCUUUCCAGUAACAUCUUUCUGCCAAACCAUGGAAAGGAGGACACCGAGGAGACCCCUGACCCAAAGGAAAUAGACUGCAGCACUGAUUGGCUGACUUUUGAUAUCAUCUUUCGUUGGAACUCAGAGUUAUUAAUGGCCCUUGCCAUACCAACACUUUCUGACUGAGCUCUGCUCUACCCUGAAUGCAAGAGACCUAAUAGUUAGGCAGGCAUGUCGUCUCCCCGUAUUCAGCCUGAAGAAGUUGCAGAAGAUGGGUCUUUAUCCCUCUAGAAGUGUUAGGAUUAAGGAUUCUCUUAUGAAAGGGAGGGGUGAAAUGUCAGAGGUGUUUAAACAAGAGCAACUCUAUCUUGAAUAGGGGCUGGGUAAAAUAAGGCUAAGACCUGCUCAGCUGAAUUCUCAGCAAGUUAAAGCAUUCUUAGUCACAGGAUGAGAUAGAAGGUCGGCACAAGACCUAAAGACCUUGCUGAUAAAACAGUUUGCAGAGGAACCAAUAGGCUAUACAUAGAUAUAUAGAAAGAGAUUUACUAUCGUUACAGCCUCACUAAUACACCAUAUGUAGUAGUCUCAUUGCCUGAAAUAGUACCUCGGUCCUUUUUCUCACGACCAAGGAAGUUAAGGAGCACAGACACCAAGAGUGAGGUUGUAGCGAAAGUUUAAUAAUUGAAUGAAGAAGGCUCUUUGCUGCAGAGAGGGGACCCAGAAGAGAGCCGCCGUUUUUACAGUUGAAUGCAAAGCUUCUAUAAGAAACCUGUGAGGGCUGGGCAUCUCAUUUGCAUAAGGUGCAUCUUUCUGGUAGCUCCACCCUGUCCUCCUAAUGUACAUGCGGGCCCUUAGCUUGAGUUCCUCCCUAUUGCUUUGUUGCAUAUGUGUCAGGGGAUGACAUUUUCCAUUGUGAGCAUGUCUGGGCAAGUCACCUGUGUAGCCUUUCUUAUCUGUGCAGCUGUGGGCAUGUCUUUGGCAAGCCCCUCUGUGCAAGGUCCCUUAUCUGUGCCUGCAGGCUGUUCUUUGGUUUGAAAGGAUUCAACCGAGGACCCACCCUAACUGCCUGCCUGAUGGGUUUUUUUCCUUUCUCCUCUCUCAUUCUGAGGGAUUGGCACAUGAAGAUAUGGAGGCUGAGAAGUUCCACAAUCAAUUGUCUGCAACAGCAGUCUCGGGUAUGUCUUUAUCAGCAGCGUGAAAAUGGACUAAUACAACAGUAAAGUCAGUGAUGGAGAUCCAGCCCAAACCUGAAGGCCAGAGAGCCAGGGGAGCCAAUGGCGACAAUCUCCAUCUGAGCUAGAAGGCCUAACAAUGGGGAGUAGCAGUGUCUGAGGACAGGAGGAGAUGGAUGUCCCAGCUCAAGCGGAGAGAGAUGCCAUUCCAAGAAAACCAUGGAAGCAGAAAAGAGGAAGGCAGAAACACAUGAAGUAAGAAGCUAUGUCCUCUGUGCAUGGAGACAGCAGAUCUAUUAGUAGACAGGAUGAAGAGAAAAGGUGGCAAGAAAAGCCACAUGGCUGAUGUAACAAGGAAGAAAGUGGGUCUCUCAGCUCUUCCCUUCUUGUUUUUCCUCUUUUCCCAGUGCCAAGAAAUGUAUUUUUGGGGGCUGCAUUCUUCCCACCAUAAUUUAGAAGGACGCUGUUGCCAGGUUUGAAGACCACUUGAAACAAUCAUUGUUGUUAUUCUGCUAUACUUACCAAGAAUGACAAAACUAUUUACAUGCUGGGGAUAGCAUGCUAGAAAAAUUGCUAAACAAAUCGUAUUUUUUUCCUUCUAUAAAAUCAGAGUUGCAAAGAGCAAUAUAUUAGGCAUUUUCUUUGCCAAAGAACUUUAGCUACGAUUUUCUCCUUCUUUAAAAUUCAUAUUAAUGAUCGUAGAUACCAGGUUUCUAAGGGAAAGACUCUUUGCAACAUCUUCUAUAUAUACCCUGGGUGUUUCUGUAUUGAAUUUACUUAAGAUUUAGGCUCUACAGUUUGAUCUCUAUCAUGUAAAAAUAUAUAGCAAGAAGGCUCCUGGGACAAACACUGAAAUGUUUAUUUUUAAUUUUCUCUGGGCAUUGACAUUCUGGAUGAUUUUAUGUUUUCAUACUUCUUUCUAUUUUCCAUAUAUUUUACAAUCU